Molecule: ribosomal RNA, 253 nt
Filed under: uncultured bacterium
Lineage: Bacteria
Description: partial 16S ribosomal RNA
Rfam family: Bacterial small subunit ribosomal RNA
Source: RNAcentral
UACGAAGGGGGCUAGCGUUGCUCGGAAUUACUGGGCGUAAAGCGCACGUAGGCGGCUUUCUAAGUCGGGGGUGAAAUCCUGGAGCUCAACUCCAGAACUGCCUUCGAUACUGGAAAGCUCGAGUCCGGGAGAGGUGAGUGGAACUGCGAGUGUAGAGGUGAAAUUCGUAGAUAUUCGCAAGAACACCAGUGGCGAAGGCGGCUCGCUGGGCAGUGGCUGACGCUGAGGCGCGACAGCGUGGGGAGCAAACAGG